AAUAUUUGUACGAGCAAUUAUCCACCAUGGAAACAAACCACAGUUGCUUCACUGUUGGUGUUCCAUUGAUCUGACCCAGUACAGUAACAAUGGGGGUCAAGGCUAAGAACUAGGUCACUAUCGGUGGGACCAACCAAGUUGUACAAUUGCAGGUUACAAAGUUUAGAUUCCUAACUGAAAGAUUGUUAAGUACAAACACUAUUUUUGAAGAAGAUAGGUAUCUUGUGUUGGGUUGUCCUCUAAAUGUUUAUGUACAUUUGGCUCCCCAAUGUCUACGUGCAUCUUCCCCAAAUGCAUUCAUGCUUGCACGAAUAUGUCUCGAGAUUCAAGCUUUUGAAUAUUCAUUGUCUAUUUGAGGUGCAUUUGGACAGAGUCACAGAGGAUAAGAAUACAUUUUACUUGGCCUGGUUCCAUAACCUAGAAAGAUUAAAUAAGGGUUGAAUAGGUAGGUGGUUCUAUGAAUUAUCUAGUUUUUUUUUUUGGGUAAACGAAUUAUCUAGUUGAUGUCUUGGUGACACAAGAAUGAUAUAUAGUUGAACUAUUAUUAAUUUGCAUGUACCACGGAUUGCAUAAUCCACAGAAUUGUAAAUCCGGUGGCUCAUCAAUGAGUUGCCCUGUUUUUGUGAAGUGGACUUGACACCUUGUAGGCCAAGGGCGCAAUAUAAGGAAGGAAGCAAUUAUAUGGGUAUCUGUUGACAGCUGGUCUCUUAAACUUGUGAAACAAGCAUUUAUGAUUUCCUGAAUUAUCAAUGCAAGUUGGGUUUUGAAACCCAUGAUUGUCAAAACCAUGGGAAAAAGAGAAGAAA
This is a long non-coding RNA of Rhododendron vialii, 806 nucleotides long. RefSeq lists it as uncharacterized. The transcript is spliced from 2 exons. NCBI's taxonomy places the organism in Eukaryota, Viridiplantae, Streptophyta, Magnoliopsida, Ericales, Ericaceae. The record is from RefSeq and is a predicted model, not a curated record.